Osmia lignaria (orchard mason bee) is the source of this 870-nucleotide non-coding RNA. NCBI's taxonomy places the organism in Eukaryota, Metazoa, Arthropoda, Insecta, Hymenoptera, Megachilidae. The record is from RefSeq and is a predicted model, not a curated record.
AUUUUCCAAAAUUUCCGUCAAAAGUGGUGAUUGAAAUUCGAAGCAAGGAACACGGAUUAAACGAGAUUGCCACGGUUCAUUGUUUCCCUUAAUUUCGCUGGCCUAGGGCUCCGAGUUUCGACGCGUUAAUCGGCAAUUUCGCGGGCCGGAAAAAUCUUGACGAUGUUACGGUGAACUAAUAACGUAAAUACAGGUCGGAUAUAUUCGAGGUAGGUAAAGUAAAGCCGCUUCAGUGUGGCGAACAGUUAAUGGGAGACCACCCGUAGCCAUACUCCUAAUACCGACGCGAUUAAAUGCAGACAGGAUAUUAAAGCACGCUCUAUACACCCGCGCUGGUCAUAACACAUUUUGACAAUGCAUCGUCCGGGCAAUAAAGUAAAAUCGUAAACCUCUUGCCACUCUCAUCCGCGACUGGGAGCUUUCAAUAUCGUCCUACGAACGGAACGCGAUACCCUGAUGACUUAUUUAUAAUAAUUAACCUAUGGACCAAAAAAUCACAAUUUUCACGAUAGGUGAACGGACACCUUUUCAACGAGAGAAUCGCUAGUGCCAUCCCGUCAGAGAGAUAGGACACGGUGUUUCGCGCGGAGUGCAGGAUCGACGCGGCAAAACGCCUUUUAAUCUUGUUUCUUCGAGCGUCAGGCAUUUUUCUGAGAAGACACGGGGAGGGAAGCCGUCUAUUUUCGCCCUCGGAGACGAGGAUACUAAACGUUAAACGGUGACAAACGCCACGAGGAAGAUAGGCUCGCGCGACGCAACUCGAACGGAUGCUUGUACCAUUAACCGCAGACCACGGAUUGGGAUAGAUCCGAGGACUAAUGGAGUCGUUCGGCUGUAAGCGACUCGGCAGAAGAAGGAGAAAAAAAAAAA